GAUCCUGGCUCAGGAUGAACGCUAGCUAUAGGCUUAACACAUGCAAGUCGAGGGGAAACGGCAAAGAGUGCUUGCACACUUUGGACGUCGACCGGCGCACGGGUGAGUAACGCGUAUCCAACCUGCCCUUUACUUGGGGAUAACCCGUUGAAAGACGGACUAAUACCCAAUGAUAUUCAUUGAUGACAUCUGAUUUGAAUUAAAGAUUUAUCGGUAUAGGAUGGGGAUGCGUCUGAUUAGCUUG
This 244-nucleotide ribosomal RNA is filed under the name uncultured bacterium. RNAcentral describes it as "partial 16S ribosomal RNA". It matches the Rfam family "Bacterial small subunit ribosomal RNA", at positions 15 to 248 of the family's 1533-position model. The record is from RNAcentral.